CCUACGGGGGCAGCAGUGGGGAAUAUUGGACAAUGGGCGAAAGCCUGAUCCAGCCAUGCCGCGUGUGUGAAGAAGGCCUUCGGGUUGUAAAGCGCUUUCAGUGGGGAAGAAAGCCUUGGGGCUAAUACCCUCGAGGAAGGACAUCACCCACAGAAGAAGCACCGGCUAACUCCGUGCCAGCAGCGGCGGUAAUACGGAGGGUGCGAGCGUUAAUCGGAAUUACUGGGCGUAAAGCGCGCGUAGGCGGUCUGAUAAGCCGGUUGUGAAAGCCCCGGGCUCAACCUGGGAACGGCAUCCGGAACUGUCAGGCUAGAGUGCAGGAGAGGAAGGUAGAAUUCCCGGUGUAGCGGUGAAAUGCGUAGAGAUCGGGAGGAAUACCAGUGGCGAAGGCGGCCUUCUGGACUGACACUGACGCUGAGGUGCGAAAGCGUGGGUAGCAAACAGGAUUAGAUACCCCAGUAGUC
This 464-nucleotide ribosomal RNA is filed under the name Vreelandella stevensii. RNAcentral describes it as "partial 16S ribosomal RNA". It matches the Rfam family "Bacterial small subunit ribosomal RNA", at positions 338 to 795 of the family's 1533-position model. Lineage: Bacteria; Pseudomonadati; Pseudomonadota; Gammaproteobacteria; Oceanospirillales; Halomonadaceae. The record is from RNAcentral.